RNAcentral lists this ribosomal RNA (253 nucleotides) under uncultured bacterium. RNAcentral describes it as "partial 16S ribosomal RNA". It matches the Rfam family "Bacterial small subunit ribosomal RNA", at positions 524 to 776 of the family's 1533-position model. The record is from RNAcentral.
UACGAAGGGGGCUAGCGUUGCUCGGAAUCACUGGGCGUAAAGCGCACGUAGGCGGAUUGUUAAGUCAGGGGUGAAAUCCUAGAGCUCAACUCCAGAACUGCCUUUGAUACUGGCGAUCUCGAGUCCGGGAGAGGUGAGUGGAACUGCGAGUGUAGAGGUGAAAUUCGUAGAUAUUCGCAAGAACACCAGUGGCGAAGGCGGCUCACUGGCCCGGUACUGACGCUGAGGUGCGAAGGCUAGGGGAGCAAACGGG